Molecule: long non-coding RNA, 205 nt
Filed under: Ananas comosus (pineapple)
Lineage: Eukaryota; Viridiplantae; Streptophyta; Magnoliopsida; Poales; Bromeliaceae
Description: long non-coding RNA (ACOM_LNC044286)
Source: RNAcentral
CAGCUUUGUUGUCUCCGUCGUGCUGAUCGCACUGGUGCAAUCCGUUCGCAAAUCUGACGGACGGAUCUGCGGAGAUCGCGCGUUGAUCGAGGAGAGGUCGGUAGUGGCAAAACGGUAUUUUCGCAAAAGUCGCGAUAUUUUAUGUACCGUUUCGCGAGGGAUCGCACGUGGAGGGGCGUUCAUGCGUUUUAGUCGUACUGUGAGG